UUUCUCUCACCUCAGCUCCCUUCCCUUGGACUUCCAAAAGGAAUAAUUUUACUCUCUCCUCCGUUCUCCCCACAACUCUCAUCCCCGCUAGCCCGCAGGCCGCCUGCCCCUUUCCGCACCUCCUUUUCCCAUCCAGCGAGAGAAACCUAGCUCCCAGAGCCGGUGCAGUCAGUCCCCUCGCCCCUCCCGCCCCUGCACGGGUCCCCCUCUAGCCGUCGCUGCAACCACCACCUCGGUUCCACUCAACCGAUUUUUGCUGCAUGUCAACACUUAUUACCGCCAAGGUUUGGUUUGGUUUGGUUUGGUUUGGUUUGGUUUGGUUUGGUUUGGUUUUUCCUCCAUUCAUGCAACUGAGGAAAUGGCCCGCUGAUGCUGGGACCUGACGUACCCACACUAAGGCAUGAGGGUGGAUUCCUCACAGCCCGGAGACUGCCUCUGCCAAUGCUUCCUCUCUCCAGAAACAGCAAAGCCUCUCUGCCUCCGCUGAGAGUUUGCAGCAGUGCGGGACCCCCUCGCACACAGUCCUGGGCAGGAACUUUUAUCCUCGUCGCUCUGGAAAGAUGAGACCUAGAACCACCACUGCUGUCCCCCAGAAAGCGGUGGGCAGCUUAUUGAAUGUGACUUGGGACCCAUACCAGUGGCAGCCCAAUUCUUGG
RNAcentral lists this long non-coding RNA (656 nucleotides) under Homo sapiens (human). RNAcentral's name for it is "PREDICTED lncRNA (TCONS_00207891)". Lineage: Eukaryota; Metazoa; Chordata; Mammalia; Primates; Hominidae. The record is from RNAcentral.